This 496-nucleotide ribosomal RNA is filed under the name uncultured bacterium. RNAcentral describes it as "partial 16S ribosomal RNA". It matches the Rfam family "Bacterial small subunit ribosomal RNA", at positions 28 to 506 of the family's 1533-position model. The record is from RNAcentral.
GUCGAACGCUGGCGGCGUGCCUUACACAUGCAAGUUGAGCGGUAAAGGGUUAUGCUUGCACCAAGUUGAAGAGCGGCUAACGUGUGAGUAACUCGUGGGUAGUCGGCGUUUGAGCGGGGGACAACCUGUGGAAACGAAUGCUAAUACGGCAGAAUAACUUUAAACAUAAGUUUUAAGUUUGAAAGAUGCAGUUGCAUCACUGAAAGAUGAUCCCGCGUUGUAUUAGCUAGUUGGUGAGGUAAAGGCUCACCAAGGCGAUGAUACAUAGCCGACCUGAGAGGGUGAUCGGCCACAUUGGGACUGAGACACGGCCCAGACUCCUACGGGAGGCAGCAGUAGGGAAUCUUCGGCAAUGGGCGAAAGUCUGACCGAGCCAUGCCGCGUGAGUGAAGAAGGUCUUCGGAUCGUAAACCUCUGUUGGUAGGGAAGAACGUGGGUGAGCGAGGAACGCUCAUCCAGUGAGGGUAAUGAACAAGAAAGAGACGGCUAAUUACGU